UGUUGAAUAAUAACCAGUUUUUGUGUUAAAAACGUCAAUUUUGAAAAUGAUCAUUCUUUAAUGAAAUUAGGUUGGUAGAAUAGAGCCAUGUAAUAACAUCUAUUACAGAAUAUGUUUUUUGUGUUAAUAAUGAACAUUUUUUGUCUCAAUCAUUUUCUUCCAUGUCCUGUUAUUGUUGAAUAAUAACCAGUUUUUGUAUUAUAAACGUCAAUUUUGAAACUAAUCAUUUUUUAAUGAAAUUAGGUUGGUAGAAUUGAGCCAUGUAAUAAAAUCUAUUACAGAAUAUGUUUUUUAUGUUAAUAAUGAACAUUUUUUGUCUCAAUCAUUUUCUUUCAUGUCCUUUUAUUGUUGAGUAAUAACCAGUUUUUGGGUUAAAAACGGCAAUUUUAAAAAUGAUCGUUUUUUAAUUGAAUUAGGUUGGUAAAACUAAUCGGUGGAAGAAAAUCGAUUACAAAAUAUGCUUUUUAGGAUAAUAAGGAACAUUUUUUGUCCCAAUCAUUUUCUUAUAUCUCAUUAUUGUUGAGUAAUAAAAACGUCAAUUUUGAAAAUGAUCAUUUUUUAAUGAACUUAUUUUGGUAGAAUUGAGCCAUGUAAUAACAUCUAUUAGAGAAUAUGUUUUUUAUGUUAAUAAGGAACCUUUUUAUCCUAAACAUUAUCUCCCACCUUCUUUUAUUCUUCAGUUAUAAUCACUUUUUAUGUCAACUUUAUUUUUCAUUGACUAAUGUCGUUGGCAUAAAUUUGAAAUCCACCAUCCAGAGGCUACAUAUUUUGACCGAUUCUAUCAAAACUCAACUUCUUAUCACUUUUCUCCCAGUCCAUGAUAAGAAGCAUCAUCUGUUAGAUUCUUUAAUUUCAAAUAUUCACGUUUUAGGAGCCAAAAUAAGAUUGUAAAAUUCGAUAAUCGACACUUUACUGUAUAUAUAAAAACAAGGAGACCUUUAUAAAGUUUAUAAAUAAAACAAUGCUAAAACGAAUAAAUAGUAACUAACUUACUUUUUAGCUUGUAAUUUCGAACAGGUACUAUUAUUACUAACUAAAAUUUAAAAUAAAAAGCAAAGAAAAAAUUCUAAUCUAAUUCCAUAAUUUUAGAUUAAAAAAAAAUAGUCUUUUUCGGUAACCAUAUGAGAUGAGGGUAUAUGAUAUAUUGUAAACGGUGUAUUGCAUAUCUACACUCGUAAAUGUGUAGUCCAAAAUGGACACUGUAAUCCUCCAGUUCUUAAUUAUUAUUACAAAUCAUUUAUUUAUUUAAAAUGGUGAAAUUAAAUUUUUUUUGGAAAUAUAUAGGAAAUUGAGUAAAGUUUUAAUCUAAAUUCUACAUGAUUUUCUAUGUUUUUACAAAAAGAAAUGUUGCAAUUUUACAA
Onthophagus taurus is the source of this 1361-nucleotide non-coding RNA. The record is from RefSeq and is a predicted model, not a curated record. NCBI's taxonomy places the organism in Eukaryota, Metazoa, Arthropoda, Insecta, Coleoptera, Scarabaeidae.